RNAcentral lists this ribosomal RNA (497 nucleotides) under uncultured bacterium. RNAcentral describes it as "partial 16S ribosomal RNA". It matches the Rfam family "Bacterial small subunit ribosomal RNA", at positions 28 to 507 of the family's 1533-position model. The record is from RNAcentral.
GAUGAACGCUGGCGGCGUACCUAAUACAUGCAAGUCGAGCGAACAGAUGAGGAGCUUGCUCCUCUGACGUUAGCGGCGGACGGGUUAGUAACACGUGGAUCACCUACCUAUAAGACUGGGAUAACUUCGGGAAACCGGAGCUAAUACCGGAUAAUAUAUUGAACCGCAUGGUUCAAUAGUUAAAGACGGUUUUGCUGUCACUUAUAGAUUGAUCCGCGCCGCAUUAGCUAGUUGGUAAGGUAACGGCUUACCAAGGCGACGAUGCGUAGCCGACCUGAGAGGGUGAUCGGCCACACUGGAACUGAGACACGGUCCAGACUCCUACGGGAGGCAGCAGUAGGGAAUCUUCCGCAAUGGGCGAAAGCCUGACGGAGCAACGCCGCGUGAGUGAUGAAGGUCUUCGGAUCGUAAAACUCUGUUAUUAGGGAAGAACAAAUGUGUAAGUAACUAUGCACGUCUUGACGGUACCUAAUCAGAAAGCCACGGCUAACUACGUG